CCCAACUUCGCCCGCCCCCCUUCCCCUCUCUCCCUCCGUCUCUACGCCAUGAGAAUGGUCCGUGGAAGGUAGUAUUUCUCUUGCUGUCCCAGGUCGACUAGGCAAUUUGACAGCCAUACCGAAGAAAAGGAGAGAGAUAAACAUAGCUUCCAAUGUUGCUGAUGUUCGGGGGACGGCUUCCCCCUAUAUGUAUACCUUUGGGGAAUUAAGACUAUAGGCAUCGUUUGUCAAUGGAUAGCGACGACAACAGCGAGCCUACUGGAACUGAGAAAAAUAAUCUUUAGCGCCUCCAUUAACUCAAAUUUGGUCACACAUCUUGCUGCUAAUAUUAAUAAUUCAAUCAGUUAGAAAAGGAAGUGUGAAAAUUGUACUCGCACAUGGAAAGGACAUUUGAGCAUGUUCUACGUUCAGCCUAGAAAAACAGAAAAAGGGAUAUAAACGGAUCUGUUUUGACAUUUCCAAACAGCUCUGGCG
RNAcentral lists this small RNA (474 nucleotides) under Histoplasma ohiense. RNAcentral describes it as "hypothetical lncRNA". Lineage: Eukaryota; Fungi; Ascomycota; Eurotiomycetes; Onygenales; Ajellomycetaceae. The record is from RNAcentral.